GAUGAACGCUGGCGGCGUGCCUAAUACAUGCAAGUCGAGCGAACAGACGAGGAGCUUGCUCCUCUGACGUUAGCGGCGGACGGGUGAGUAACACGUGGAUAACCUACCUAUAAGACUGGGAUAACUUCGGGAAACCGGAGCUAAUACCGGAUAAUAUAUUGAACCGCAUGGUUCAAUAGUGAAAGACGGUUUUGCUGUCACUUAUAGAUGGAUCCGCGCCGCAUUAGCUAGUUGGUAAGGUAACGGCUUACCAAGGCAACGAUGCGUAGCCGACCUGAUAGGGUGAGCGGCCACGCUGGAACUGAGACACGGUCCAGACUCCUACGGGAGGCAGCAGUAGGGAAUCUUCCGCAAUGGGCGAAAGCCUGACGGAGCAACGCCGCGUGAGUGAUGAAGGUCUUCGGAUCGUAAAACUCUGUUAUUAGGGAAGAACAAAUGUGUAAGUAACUAUGCACGUCUUGACGGUACCUAAUCAGAAAGCCACGGCUAACUACGUG
RNAcentral lists this ribosomal RNA (497 nucleotides) under uncultured bacterium. RNAcentral describes it as "partial 16S ribosomal RNA". It matches the Rfam family "Bacterial small subunit ribosomal RNA", at positions 28 to 507 of the family's 1533-position model. The record is from RNAcentral.